UUGAACAAUUAGAUGGCACAGCAUAUUUUCAUAAUGAAAGAAUUUCCUUAAUUUUCCUCUUCUCUCACUGAAGCUCUAUUAAGUAGUUCAACCAUUAAAGUCCUUAUUUAUUAGCGAAGCCCAGAUGGCCAGCCACUAUAAGAGUAAAGAAUAGCUGAGCCAUGUCAGACCUUAAUUAAGAGAUUGCAAAUUAGAGGAACAUCACUCAAAGCAUAGGGACUAAAAUCACACUUUUCUACUAUUAUAAUUCCAUAAUGGUUUGUGGAAAGAAAAAAAACCCCACACCCUAAAUAUGACUCAGUCAGAAUGUAACCACUAUAUAAGGAAAAUGUGUGAUAUCCCUGGUGUUAUCCCUUUGCUAAAGCUCUGUCGCUGCUUCUGUUGAAAUUGCAACCCCUGAAUAGUCUUUCCUAUACAUAUUUGCAAGGUGCUAUCACUCCUGUGCUGCACAUGACCUCGAUGGGAACUGGGAGUAUUCCGAAGCUGAAAAAUUAGGUCCAAAGGCCAGAAGCAAUGAAGACUGCCUUGCUGACAAAUUUCCAAAGGCAAAAUGUGAGUGCCAGA
Molecule: long non-coding RNA, 564 nt
Organism: Chiroxiphia lanceolata (lance-tailed manakin)
Lineage: Eukaryota; Metazoa; Chordata; Aves; Passeriformes; Pipridae
Exons: 3
Source: RefSeq, a predicted model, not a curated record